UUAUUAACAUUCUUUCUGUGAGAGGGAUCCACGGAUAGAAAGACUUGUAAUUCUUAAAGGAUAAAUGUGACCUUGUAUAUUGUGACUAAAUAUUGCCAUCUAGUGUUUUUGUUGAGCUUUCAGUAAAUGAUACUGAAGGCAAUGCCCAAAUGCAUGAUGGGAAGUGCCACCAUGACUGUGCGUAGUGGCACCAAUUGAUAUAUCUUCUCUGCGUUGGGACAUAACAUAGGGUGUUAAGAAAAAGAUCGGCUAAUACCGUUCUUCCCCACAUUGAUUCUCACGAUAUUUCUUAUUAUUGAGAGAGGGAUUGUAAGGCUUAAGCCAAUUAAAAAAAGGCUCCAAAGACUGCCAAAAUCCACUCUACUCAUUUUACGCUGCCUUUUAGCUCUAUAUAUAGGUAAAACGGCGCCAUUAUAAAUUGAACGUAACAAUGCGUGAGUGGGUCAUGCAGUGCAUGCGUUAAUUGCGUCAAAUAUUUUAACGUGAUUCAUUUUUAAAAAAUUAAUUACCGCCGUUAACGCGAUAAAUCUGAUAGCCCUACUUUAAGCCAAAACUAAAGACUCUGGAUGAGUUUAAGACAUUUUGUCUGUAACGUUAAAUACAAUUAGAAAACAAUUUAAUUAAAAAAUAUAUAUAUAUAUUAAACAAAGGCAUGUCCGAUAUUAUUUUGCCACUUCCGAUACUUUGAAAAUGACGUGAUCGAACCCGAUCGAUCGGGAUGCCGAUCAUCUUUAGUUAUAAUAUGUUGACUGAAAACUACUUGAUGACAACUUGAUGAUUUUACGACACUGCGGGUGUGCGCUGGUCUUCCUUAAGGCAAAACACUACCGCUUUUGUCCACCCGCGUCGCUAUAAUCGACCAAAACUGAAAAGUUACAUAGUGUUGCUUUAAGAGUUGGGAACACCGCAAGCACACGGAGGUCAACUGCCUUGCUGCUCGCUGCAUUUACCGUAAUGCUUGGAUUACGUAGGUACGCUAAUUUUGGGGUCCCCUCAUUUGACCACUGGACCACCGGGGUAAUCCCCGGUAUUCCCAUAAACUAGUCCGCCCUUGAUCACAAUUGAGAUUCAUUGCAGAAAAUUACAAAAACAAAUCUAAUCUGAUUAAUCUAUUGCUAGAUUAAUCCAUUGAUAGAAUUAAGAUUAGUUGGGGAAAAGGUAUAUUUCUUCCUGGCUCCUUAGUCUGAAGUUACAAAAAAAGUCUGAUUAAUCAAGUGAUAGCUUAAUCCCGACUGAUUUAGAUUAAUUGCGGAAAAUGUGCAUUUCUUCUUCCUGAUCCUUUCUGUAAUUAGCGUCUAUCGCCCCCCAAUGGCAGCCAAUGAGUUAAAUGCAACUUUAAGUGCCACAAAAUAUCAGUAAAGUACCCAAAUCGUUGCCUGGAACUAAAAGACCACAAGAUGGCGUUAAAAGCACACUUUUGUUUGUGGUGAACUACUCAAUUCAAUGCCAGGAAGCCACUUUAAAUUUUCAAAACUUUGUGAUUUAUCGGGAAACAAAAGCAAACUAAAUUCAUUUAAGUGUCCUCCAGCUUCUCCGGAAACGACUCACUUACCUUGAGUCUUGAUUUGGACGAGCUGCGCUGCUAAUUAAACGCACCCUGAGCUCUGCUUCAACAGAGACACUUAAUAUUUCAGAGUCCUUUUUUUCCUUAAAAUAAAAACAAAAAAAAACAUUGUGUCGAUAAAACGCUGCUCCUCGACUCUUGUCGUAACCUCACAACUCCGUAAUGUGACGGCACAACUAAGCACGUUUGCCUGGAUUUUGUGAACUUGCUGGAAGUUUUUCUAAUAUAUAUACUAGUAUAUCAAGAGAGAAAGCAAAUAAUUUCAUUUGAUCCGUUUUUGUAUACCUUAAGAUUUCUCUUGUGAUCCGAGAUUUUUUUUUUUUCUAUUAUUGUUUUGGGUGGAACAAACAACACUGAGCAAUUAGCAUUAGCGUUAUUCUUUGAAUUAGAUGUCUACUUUUUUCUGAAUUUACAUAUUUGCAGAUUUAAAAGUGAACGAUCCCUCGUUUUUGGGGUUUUUUUUGUUUUGUUUUUUUUGCUAUUAUUUAAAUUUUUCUUAAUACAGCCUUUUUUCAAAGAUUGAUGGUAACAAUCUAAAAUGGCUCCUGAUGGGGGAAUAUUUUAGUGUAACGGUACCACUGUUUACUAUCAACUUUAUCGACAGCAAUGUUCAAAUGGCACAAGCUGAUAUUUUUGCUGAUUUCAUCCUCGCAUGAAAAACAAUACAAAAAAACACUGUUUUGAGCCUCCAAGCAGCUUUUAACAAAGGAUUACCGUAUUUUUCGGACUAUAAGUCGCACCUGAGUAAAAGUCACACCAGCCAUAAAAUGCCCAACGAAGAGGAAAAAAUAUAUAUAAGUCGCACAGGAGUACAAGUCGCAUUUUGGGGGGAAAUUUACUCGAUGAAAUCCAACACAUAGAACAGAUGUCAUCUUGAAAGGCAAUUUAAACUAAAAAUACAAUAGGGAACAACAUGCUGAAUAAGUGUACAGUAUGAUAAUGUUACAUGAUGCACGAACAACGAAAUCCGAAUGUGGCCGAUAUGUUAACGUAACAUAGCUAUUAAGAGUUAUUCAGAUAACUAUAGCAUAAAGAACAUGCUAACAAGUUUACCAAACCAUCAGUGUCACUCCAAAACACCGAAAUAACCUGUGAAAUGAUAUAAAAAAGAGUAUAAGAGUAUAAGUCGCACCCCCAGCUAAACUAUGAAAAAAAAAAAAACUGCAAUUUAUAGUCCAAAAAAUACGGUAUUGGCUAUAAAUACGGAUUUAUGCUCAAAUAUUAUAAGGUGGGAGGGAUGGUGAUAUAUUGUUCAUAUACUAGAAUCAUGUUUAAAUAUUUUGAUUUUCAAAAAACAUUACUAGAGGAUUUUUAAUUUAAGGGAAAAAAGACUAUUUUGUUAAUAUUACAGCCCUUUCUUUGUUGCUGUAAUAUAAUCUAAAUAUUUCUGAUGUAAAAUGAUAGUUUUUGGAAGUGUCACAAGUUUGAAAUGCUAUUUUAUUGUUGUUGUUUUUUUUGUCCCCUCAAAAAUGAAACAUUCUUUUACUUUUAUUCCAUUCUCUUUCAGCAUUAACCCUUUAUAGAGCACUCAUUUAACUUAUUGGCUGCCAUUGACGGUGUCUAGUGUCGUCAAUAACACUGAAACAUGAUCAUAUUUUAUGCUGUUUUCCCCCUAAAGUUCAAAUUUAUUUAUUGAUUAAUCACGAUUAAUUAGGAUUCCUUGCAGAACAUGUGUAUGCCUUGUUUUAUUUGUUGUCUAAAGUUACAAAAACAUGUCUAAUUAGAUUAAUAUAUUGAUGGACUAAUCUAUUUGUAGACUAAUUUAUUGUUAUACAAAUCUUAACUGACAUGAUAACUGCAGAAAAUGUGCAGAAAGUGUGUUUUCGCUUCCUGAUUUUUGAAGCUACAAAAAUCCAAUCUGAGCAGAUUAAUCUAUUAUCAGAUUAAUCCCAGUUGAGAUUUAUUAUGUGAAAUGUGAGUAGCAGCGUCAAGGCACUGAAAAAUGACCAGCCACAGUCAGUGUUCCCAGUUUAAAUGGAUUGGACGUCCAGCCCUGUCAAUGGCACUGAAACUCUAUUUAUAGAUUAAUCAGGAUUAAUUAUGAUUCCUUGGCGGACAUGUGUAUUCCUUUUCCCUGAUUCUAUUUUUGUCUAAAGUUACAAAAACAUGUCUCAAAAAUGUAUCUAUUGAUGGAUAACUAGAUUAAAAAAUUAGUCUAUUGAUAGAUUAAUCACAAUUGAGAUUAACUAAAAACAAUGUGAAUUUCAGCUUCUUAAAUUUUGUCUAAAGUCACAAAAAUAAAAUCUGAACAGAAUUAUGUAUUAUAUCAGUCGCAGUUGAGAUCAAUUAUGAAAUAUGUGAACAGCGCUGUCAAUGGCACUGAAACAUGAUCAUGCUAUAAAAAAAUUUUUUUUAAAUCUGAAAAUGAAUCAGAUUAAUCCAAUUACAGAUUAAUCACGAUUAAUUCAGAUUCUUUCCAGAACAUGUGUAUUCCUUUUUCCUGGUUUUUAUUUUUGUCUAGGUUAUACAAAUAUGUCUAAUCAGAUAAAUCUAUUGAAAGAUGGAUUAAUCUAUUCAAAGAUUAAGCACAAUUUAGAUUAAUUGAAGACUGUGCAUUUCCGCUACUUGACUCCUUUAAUGUAAAAAAAAAAAAAAAAAAAAAAAAUCUGAACAGAUUAAUCUAUUGAUAGAUCUAGAUUAAUUAAUAGAUCUGUCUACUGAUAGAUGAAUCACAAUUGAGAUUUAGUGAAGACCUUCCUGACUCCUUUAUAGUUUCAAAAAUGAAAUCUGAACAGAUUAAUUAUUGAUAGAUCAAUGGAUUAAUCUGUUGAUAGAUUAAUACCAAUUGAGAUUAAUUGACGACUGUGCAGUUCCGCUUCCUGACUCUUUUAAAGUUUCAAAGAUCAAAUCUGAGCAGAUUAAUCUAUUAUUGAAUGUACAGAUUAAUCUAUUGGUAGAUUAAUCACAAUUUCGAUUCAUUUAAGCCUGUGCCUUUCCACUUCCUGACUACUAUAAAGUUUCAAAAAUCAAAUCUGAAGAGAUGAAUCUAUUUAAUUUAUCUAUCGAUAGAUUAAUCACAAUUGAGAUGAAAUGAAGACUGCAUUUCCGCUUCCUGACUCCUUUGAAGUUUCAAAAAUCAAAUCUGAACCGAUUAAUCUAUUGAUUGAUUAAUCACAAUUGAGAUUAAUUGAAGACAGUGCAUUUCCGCUUCUUUACUCCUUUGAAGUUUCAAAAAGCAAAUCUGAACAGAUUAAUUUAUUGAUAGAUUAAUAGAUUAAUCUAUUGAUAGAUGAAUCACAAUUGAGAUUAACUGAAGAAAAUGUGCAUUUCCGCUUCCUGACUCCUUUAAAGUUUCAAAAAUCAAAUCUGAACAGAUUAACCUAUUGAUAGAUUAAUCGCGAUUGAGAUUAAUUCCAGAAAAUGUGAAUGAAUGGUACUGAAAAAUGACCAUCCAAAGCCAGUGCCCCAGUUUAAAUGGACUGGACGUCCUUCGAUACUUGCUCUAUAAAGGGUUAAUUCCUAAAUUUUUUUUUGUUUGUUUCACCGCCAUGUUUUCAUUUUAACACAUUCAAUCUUAAUCAGUUUGUCCAAAAACAUGAAUGAGACCUGCUCAGUACUUGAUCCAUUUUUGUUCUAAUCGUUUGUUGGCGUCUUCAAUUCAACUGUUUGAAAGUCAAAUCAACCCUAUGUUUGAUGUAAUGUGAAAUUCUGAACUAUUUGAGGGACUAGCAUAUUUUCAAAAAGCUGUUUAACAAUAAAAGAUCUUCAUCAUGUUUUGAACACGCGGUCCUCUGUUGUCCGAAUUGCCAAAACGAAUGUUCAAAUGGUUGAAAACAAUGAGGUGAGUAUGUUUCUCUUCUCUUUAUUGCUUGAAGCUUUGAUGUUGGUCAUAAAGCAUAUGUCCCGUGUGAGAGUGACAUUUUGUCUUGACGCAGGAGGCCGCAUGGAAAGCAAGUAAGUAGUAAGCCUUCUUGGCGUUGCGGUUCUUUUGGUGCGGGAAGCAUGGAGAGCAGCACAGACAAAACCAGGAAAAACCUCAGGAAACGUCUGGAUCAGCUGGGCUACAGACUUUAUCUUGGAAUAGACUCUGUACCGCUGGUGGCUAAACUCUUCAGCGAUCUGGUCCACACCACAGUUAGCCUCCGCAAUGCUAAACUGUCGGCAGAGAAGCAGGACGUCCCGUCCAAACCGCCGUGCAGCACCUGGCUGGGCGCUGGUGACCAUUUUCAAAGUCAAGUUUCAGGUGGGAAGAAGCCGAGUGUUGUUUUGAUCGACCAAUCCACGCAAACGGAUGAAGAAAGACGGCCUUCACCUCGUCAGGAGGAGGUUGAUGAGGGGGAGCAGGAGGAGGAUUUAUCUGAAAGGGUCGUCGAAUUGCAGGAAGAAUUACUGCGUGUCCAAUCGGAUCUGGUCGACUCACACGGGCGGCUGGAAGCAUCCGACGUUGAACUGUCGGAGUUGCGCGAGGCCAAGCGGACGCUCGAACGUUCGCUGGCCAGCAAGGAAGAAGCGCUGUCCAGCAAGGACGACGCUCUGGCCCAGAUGGUGGCAUUGAAGGAGCACGUCUUCAACAUGGCCUAUAGGAAGUUGUCGGCCUCCAAGGAGGUCAUUCUCGGACAGCAGGAAAUCAUCCGGGACUUGGAGGUCAACCUUCGGAAAAUAAAAGCGGAGGUUAGCGGGCGGAGUCCUAUUCAGAAGCAACUGGCUGAGGCAAAAGGACGCAACCACAAACUGCAGGGAUUGGUCUCCAUCUUGGAGGGAAAGAGUACACGAGAAGAACUGGACGACGUGCUGGAUAUUGAUCGAGAUGUGCAACUCCAUGCGGACCAGAUGCGGGCCAAAGGCGGCGGCGGUGAUUGCGGUUCAUCCUUCAUCAAAAGCCGAGAGGAGGACCGCCUCUGCUACCGGCGCGAGGCACAGCGCUACAAAAGCAUCCUCGGAGGCCGCGCCCUCAACGCCGUCAACCUCAGUCCAUCGCAGGCAAGGAGGGCCAAGUUUGUGCUAGCCGCCACUUUUCGGGGCGACGCCAGAUGAAACUCACGCAUGUUUGCUUACCUCCAGCACCAGCACUUUAUGUAGAAUUAUGUUUUGGGAAACUUGAGUAAAGUUUGGGCAAUUACCGUGAACGUCGAGGCGCGCGGUGGUGGACACGAUGCCGGCGUCGUUUUUGGCAGACACGGUGUACCAGCCGGCGUCGUCCUUGCAGGCCGGCUGGAUGAUCAUGCACAGGUAGCCGCGGUUGUCCUGGUGCAUGCUGGAAUAGGAUGAAACGCCAGUCAGUAAGCGGCGCCAGAACGACGAUCGGCGUGCGACCCACCUGAUUCUGUCAGUGUUGUGAGUAAGCGACUCGUUCUCACGCUUCCAGAAGAUUUGCGGGUAUGGGACGCCGCUGACGCGGCACUCCAGACGCACGGGGUGGCCCUCCGACACGCUCGUGUUCUGGAGCUUCUCCGUGAACGACGGCGCCUUGUGUAGCUCUUUGGCUGUGUGCGCACAAAAAAAGAGAAAAACAUUAGCGCUUAAAAGCUACGACGGAGUAUUUGUACAAGUCAUAAUAUUCCCUGAUUAAAGUUAUAAGGUUAUAAUACGACGCGAAAGAAGUUGCAAUGUUACGUGGAAAAAGUAGUAAAAAGUAGUAGUAUUUCAAGACAAAGUCCGAACGUUACGAGGUGUAAGUUGUAAUAUUAAGAGAAAAGGUUGAAGUUGUAAUACAUAAUUUAACGUAAUAUUACGUGAUUAACGUUGUAUUCCAAUUCACUCUGAAUGAUUUCCAACCGAAGUGACCCCGAAAUGCACCUGAGUCAACAGAAAGUGACCCACUAUCAACAGGAAGUGACCCUGGAAUGCCUCAAAACCAACUGGAAGUGACCCAAAAUGUACAGGAAGUGAACCCGAAAUACCCCCAAAUCAACAGGAAGUAACCCAAUAUUAACAGAGACCCUGAAAUGCUUAAAAUCUACAGGAGGUGACCCCAAAAUGCCCCCAAAUCAAUAGAAACUGCACCAAUAUGACUACAGGAAGUGAUCCUGGAAUGCCUCAAAAUGUACAGGAAGUGAACCUAUAGGAAGUGACCCUGGAAUUCCUCAAAACCAACAGGAAGUGACCCUAAAUGCUCCCAAAUCAAUAGGAUGUGACCCAAUACCUACAGGAAGUGACCCUAGAAUGCUUUAAUACUAAUCGGAAGAGACCGUGAAAGCCCUAAAAUCAACAGGAAGUGACCCGAUAUCUACAGGAAGUGACCCAGAAAUGCGUCCAACUCAGCAGGAAGUGACUUGUUGUACAUGAAGUUAUCCUGUAAUGCCCCCAAAUCAAUAAGAAGUGACCCAAAAUGUACAGGAAGUGAUCCUGAUAUGCCCUAAGAUCAACAGGAAGUGACCCGAUAUUUACAGAAAGUGACCCUGGAAUGCCUCAAAACUGACUGGAAGUGAAUCAAAAUGUACAGAAGGUGAACCUGAAAUACCCCCAUAUCAAAAGGAAGUGAGCCCAAAAUGCCGCAAAAUCAAUAGGAAGUGACCCAAUACCUACAGGAAGUGACCCAGGAAUGCCUUAAUACCGAUAGGAAGUGACCAUGAAAGCCCUAAAAUCAACAGGAAGUGACCCUGAAAUGCGUCCAACUCAGCAGGAAGUGACUCGUUGUACAGGAGGUUAUCCUGUAAUUCCCCCAAAGCAAUAAGAAGUGACCCAAAAUGUACAGGAAGUGACCCUGAAAUGCCCUAAGAUCAACAGGAAGUGAACCGAUAUUUACAGAAAGUGACCCUGGAAUGCCUCAAAACCGAAUGGAAGUGACUCAAAAUAUACAGAAGGUGAACCUGAAAUACCCCCAAAUCAAAAGGAAGUGACCCAAUACCUACAGGAAGUGACCUUUCAAUGCCUCAAAAUCAGUAGGAAGUGGCCCUGAAAUGCCCCAAAACCUAUUGGAAGUGACUCAAAAUGUACAGAAGGUGAAUCUGAAAUUACCCCCAAAUGAACAGGAAGUGACUCAAUAUCUACAGGAAGUGACAUUGGAAUGCCUCAAAAUCAACAAAAAGUGACCCAAUAUGUACAGGGACAGUCGCCAAAACGACCCCAAAUCAAUAGGAAGUGACCCAAUAUGAACAAAAAGUGACCCCAAAAUGUCCUCAAAUCAAUACGAAGUGACCCAACAUGAACAGAAAGUGACCCUAUGUCUCCAGAAAGUGAGCCUUGAAAGCCUCAAAAUCAACAGGAAGUGACCCUGAAAUGCCUAAAAAUGAACAGAAAAUAAACUUUAAAUUGCUCAAAAUCAAUAGGAAGUGACCCAAUAUGAACAGGAAGUGACCCCGAAGUGCCCCCAGUUCAUUUCAAAUUUAUUUGCAUAGCCCUAAAUCACAACAAGGUUGUGUCAAAGGGCUUUGCAGAGGCAAUAUGGUACACAUAGGAAGUGACCCUUGAAUGCCUCAAAAUCAACAGGAAGUGACCCCGAAAUGCCCCCAAAUGAAUAGGAAGUGUCCCAAUAUGUACAGGAAGUGACCCUGAAAUGCCCCCCAAUCAACAGGAAGUGACCCAAAAAUGCCCCCAAAUCAAUAGGAAGUCACCCAAUAUUAACAGGAAGUGACCCUAAAAAUGCCCGCAUAUCAAUAGGAAGUGACCCAAUAUGAACAGAAAGUGACCCCAAAAUGCCCCCAAAUCAAUAGGAAGUGAUCCAAUAUGAACAGGAAAUGACCCUUGAAUACCUCAAAAUCAACAGGAAGUGACCCUGAAAGGCCCCCAAACAACAGGAAGUGACCCAAUAUGUACAGGAAGUGACUCCAAAAUGCCCCCAAAUCAAUAGGAAGUGAUCCAAUAUGAACAGGAAGUGACCCUUAAAACACCCGCAAAUCAACAGGAAGUGACCCAAUAUGAACAGGAAGUGACCCUAAAAAUGCCCGCAAAUCAAUAGGAAGUGACCCAAUAUGAACAGAAACUGACCCCAAAAUGCCCUAAGAUCGAUAGGAAGUGACCCAAUAUCUCCAGAAAGUGAGCCUUGAGUGCCUAAAAUGUACAUGAAGUGACCCAAUAUGAACAGGAAGUGACCCAAUAUCUCCAGAAAGUGAGCCUUGAAUGCCUAAAAUGUACAAAAAGUGACACAAUAUGAACAGGAAGUGACACUUAAAUACCUCAAAAUCAACAGAAAAUAACCCUGACAUACCUCAAAAUCAACAGGAAGUAACCCUGAAAUGCCCCCAAAUUAACAGGAAGUGACCCAAUAUUUACAGGAAGUGACCCCAAAAUGCCCGCAAAUCAAUAGGAAGUGAGCCAAUAUGAACAGGAAGUGACCCCAAAAAUCCCUUAAGAUCGAUAGAAAGUGACCCAAUAUCUCCAGAAAGUGAGCCUUGAAUGCCUAAAAUGUACAGGAAGUGACCCAAUAUUAACAGGAAGUGACCCCAAAACGCCCCCAAAUAAAUAGGAAGUGAUCCAAUAUGAACAGGAAAUGACCCUUAAAUACCUCAAAAUCAACAGAAAAUAACCCUGAAAUACCUCAAAAUCAACAGGAAGUGACCCUGAAAUGCCCCCAAAUUAACAGGAAGUGACCCAAUAUUUAUAGGAAGUGACCCCAAAAUGCCCCCAAAUCAAUAGGAAGUGAUCCAAUAUGAACAGGAAGUGACCCUAAAAACACCCGCAAAUCAAUAGGAAUUGAUAUGAACAGAAAGUGACCCCAAAAUGACCUAAGAUCGAUAGGAAGUGACCCAAUAUGAACAGGAAGUGACCCAAUACCUCCAGAAAGUGAGCCUUGAAUGCCUAAAAUCAACAGGAAGUGACCGAAUAUGUACAGGAAGUGACCCCAAAACGCCCCAAAUCAAUAGGAAGUGACCCAAUAUGAACAGGAGAGUGACCCUUGAAUGCCCCAAAAUCAACAGAAAAUAACCCUGAAAUACCUCAAAAUCAACAGGAAGUGGGAAUUUUUGUGUUUGUUCACCUGCGACGAUGAGCUCCAGGUUAAAGGAGUUCUGUCCGGCGCGGUUGCUGGCGAUGCACGUGUAGACGCCGGCGUCGCGCGCGCUGACCGGUUCGAUGAUGAGCGAGUGCACGCCGUUCUCGCGCACCAACAUCUUGUGGGCCGAGUCGGGCCGCACCGUCUGCCCGUUCAGCUGCCACACCAAGUCGGGCGUCGGCAGACCGCUCACCUGUCGCACACGUCGCGGUCUUGUUAGUCAUUAAAAAAGCAAACCGUUAUUUUGGUGAUGAGUCAACUCAUCGGCUCAAUUAUAUACUGCAAAUAUAUAUUUAUGCACUGAAAAAAGUUCAAGCAUGAAUACUCAUGGAAAUACAAGUAUGUCAGUGAUUCAUUGUUUACCAAAAUAUAUAAUAAACCUGUUUUUAUUCAUCAGAAGAAUACACAGUUUCAUUGUCCCCCCCCCACCCUCUUUUUUCUGCAAUAAAAAUAAUAUAGAAUUUUUUUCUUUAAAGUUGAGAAAAUACUAAUAAGUUGAAAAAUUAAAAUAAUUUUUAUUCAAAAGUUUAAAAAAAAUAAAGGAAUAUAAGUUGAAAAUUAAAAUAAAUGAUAAAAAACAAAUAAUUC
Molecule: RNA transcript, 11021 nt
Organism: Corythoichthys intestinalis (scribbled pipefish)
Lineage: Eukaryota; Metazoa; Chordata; Actinopteri; Syngnathiformes; Syngnathidae
Exons: 8
Source: RefSeq, a predicted model, not a curated record